CUGUGGUCAUAUGCCAGAGAGAGACAGGAGGGGAAGGAAUUAUAGGAGAAGGGAACAUCUGUGGUCAUAUGCCGGAGAGAGACAGAAGGGGAAGGAAUUAUAGAAGGGAACAUCUGUGGUCAUAUGCCAGCAAGAGACAGGAGGGGAAGGAAUUAUAGGAGAAGGGAACAUCUGUGGUCAUAUUGUAGUGCCGGGACGUAGUAUUAAGUAUGGGUAAGUAAUGUUAAGUUAAUGUAAGUAGCAUUUAAGUUAAUGUAAGAAUUAUUAGUAACAUUGAAUUAUUAUUGCGUGAUGCUCACACCCCCGAGACAGACGGACAGACAGACAGACAUACAUGUUGACGCCUGCAGAAAGUAGGUGAUCGGUUCCAUACGAGAUAAUGGGCAUAAUUUUAAUACAAGAUAGUAGCUUCUAGUUAGAAUUUUUCACCUUGCUAUUCAGGGGAACCAUUAUGCCAAUAUCAUGCGACGAGUAAAGUACCGUAGACGGUUGUUGCAAGGUUGAAUAAAUCAGGGUUCGAAUUAAAUCUGGGGAGGGAUGUGAACCGCGGGCAGCGGCUGCGUAGGGAGCCCCACCCAGCAAACACCAACAGACACGCCUUGGCUCUUCCCCCAGACAGGUGCGUCUCUCUGAUGUGAAGUAAUUCCUGUUCAUAUUAUAGAUAUAUUUUCUCAUUAUUGUAUUUGUGCGGUGCAAACACUAACAGACACGCCUUGGCUCUUCCCCCGGACAGGUGCGUCUCUCUGAUGUGAAGUAAUUCCUGUUCAUAUUAUAGAUAUAUUUUCUCAUUAUUGUAUUUGUGCGGUGCAAACACUAACAGACACGCCUUGGCUCUUCCCCCGGACAGGUGCGUCUCUCUGAGGUGAAGUAAUUCCUGUUCAUAUUAUAGAUAUAUUUUCUCAUUAUUGUAUUUGUGCGGUGCAAACACUAACAGACACGCCUUGGCUCUUCCCCCGGACAGGGAAGUGAGUGGAGAUAAAGGGUCUGUCACGUGCGUGUCUCGGGUGUGUUCGGUAUGAUACACGUAUUGACUACGUAGGGUGUUUAGUCCACGGAGUAGCAGGGCUGUGCAGUAUUUCUCUUUAACGAGGAUGUAACCACCUGGUUCGUCCCCUUUGUCUGCUGGUUAGGCUAUAUUUUACUAAGGAUAAAGGAGAUUGUAAGAAGAUUGUUUAUGCCCAUGUGAGCACCAGUGAACUGUUUUUCGUGCCACGUUUGUGGUAGGCGGUGGCCGAAUUGGUAGAGUACUGGGCCCACAUUCACCGCGUGACGGACGACGCGGGUUCGAAUCCCCACGCUACCACUCGGAUUUUUCAGCCACCGCCGAGUGGCUUAAAACUACCCACAUGCUGUCCUGAAGACCACCCAUCAACCCGGACUCUAGAGGAAGCCGUCCAAGCGAAUCAAGAACAAGUUCCGGGGGGCAGCAUGAGCCAAUGCAAGAUGGCGCCACUAUAAACACUCGCCUGCGCCAGAACGGGCUGGGCCAACCAUCAGGCCCCACCUGGAAGAAGCCUUGGGCCGACCAUCAGGCCCCACCAGGAAGAU
This is a long non-coding RNA of Eriocheir sinensis (Chinese mitten crab), 1548 nucleotides long. RefSeq lists it as uncharacterized. The record is from RefSeq and is a predicted model, not a curated record. Lineage: Eukaryota; Metazoa; Arthropoda; Malacostraca; Decapoda; Varunidae. The transcript has 3 exons.